This 76-nucleotide transfer RNA is filed under the name Mycetocola tolaasinivorans. RNAcentral describes it as "tRNA-Thr". It matches the Rfam family "tRNA". From Rfam's summary of the family: Transfer RNA (tRNA) molecules are approximately 80 nucleotides in length. RNAcentral also lists the same sequence under 3 other names. Lineage: Bacteria; Bacillati; Actinomycetota; Actinomycetes; Micrococcales; Microbacteriaceae. The record is from RNAcentral.
GCCGUUUUAGCUCAGUUGGCAGAGCGCCGCACUUGUAAUGCGAAGGUCGCGAGUUCGAUUCUCGCAAACGGCUCCA